ACAUUCAGUGAUCAACAGAAUACAGAAAUCUGUGUGAUUCAGUCCUUUCGUCUUGGCACAUCAUUGUAGAAGCAUUAUCACCUUGGGGAUUUCGUCUGUUGUGAUGUUCUGUGAUGCUGCGGUGGUGGAUUUUUCAUUUUUGGGUGAAGACGAGAUACAAAUUUGAAGGGGAGAAUACUACAACUCCAUUGAUUUUUAUAUGACUGUUUGAUGCCGAAGUUAGUUGGAAGUUGGAACCCUAACUCAAGCACAGAAGAUAACCAUUGCUGCUGCCUUACAACCACAGGCAGGAAAAUUAUUCUUUUCUUCAGAAAAUUGGAAAGCUGCUGGAGUAAUCUAGUGUCCAUCCCCACUUGAUUAAUUUCGUGCCAGCUUGUGAAAGGCGUGAGGAAUUCAAAUUUAGCUGCUGCGUGCUGUCUGCAAGCAAGCAAUCCAAUUGGCUGUCGCUAGGUGGCGCGAGUGUCUUCAGGGGACCAAAUUCGGCCAUUUUGUUCCUUGACGCAGCAGAAGUGGGAUGCUGGUCGUGACGUUUCCCAUGAUGAAAAUGUGAUUUCAAUACCACUUUGUCAAAUCAUGUAACUCGGACUUGAGUGUCUGUCCAUUUUGCCGAAAUGUCGUGCCUCGUGUGUCUUGCUGCCUGCACCCAGUCGUACGGGUGCGUCUCGUCCCAUGACAAAGCAAAAGUCCGCUGUUGGUUACCUUGUUGCAGCCAGGUGGUGAAAGAUGUGAUGGAGACUAAUUGAACUGUUGUAUGCAGCGUGUGGUUCCAGUGUUAUCCAGAAGUAGCUGACCUGGCGGUCCUGAACUAGCCUGAAGCAGCCUGAAGUUGCCAGUGAUAUCCGGGUCGCUGACUUUAAAUAUUUUUCUGUUUGCAUUUGUGUAUUUUGCUCUGCCAAUGCUAUCCUGUGUUUGAAAUCUUUUCUCAUUCGUGUUUUUUUGCUCUAUCAGUGAUUUCCUGUGUUGCAGUCUUGAAAUGGUUUCAUUGUCGUCUUUGUCGUUUUUAUUGUGCAGUAUACGAUUGAGGCAACCUGAUCUAUAUGUCAGGUUUGACUCAGUCGACAACUGCUAGAUUAAAUUCCGGCUUUCUGCACCAACAAAAUAAUAACGGCACAUGUUAU
Molecule: long non-coding RNA, 1118 nt
Filed under: Daphnia pulex (common water flea)
Lineage: Eukaryota; Metazoa; Arthropoda; Branchiopoda; Diplostraca; Daphniidae
Description: uncharacterized LOC124191054, transcript variant X1
Source: RNAcentral